Molecule: non-coding RNA, 72 nt
Organism: Chelonia mydas (Green sea turtle)
Lineage: Eukaryota; Metazoa; Chordata; Testudines; Cheloniidae
Source: Rfam
GGUCCCAUGGUGUAAUGGUCAGCACUCAGGACUCUGAAUCCUGCAAGCUGAGUUCAAAUCGCAGUAGGACCU